ACUUGCCAUCAUUAUGAGAUUUAUUAAACAUUGUAAAUGAAAAACAUUUGCAAUAUUCAACUUUUUCAAUAAUAAAUAUUUGCAAAAAUAGAAAUUUGCAAUAAUAGUGCACCUCCGCCCGUAGUUCCAACAGCCUGUUCAGUAUCCUCCCUCGAGAUAGCCAGCGCACUUCAGUGUGUAGCAGCAGUUGUGUGUGUUUAGCUCCCAUGUCCUCACAAAGGCGGUGAAACAGUCGUGCAUUGAGUGGCCUUGACUUAAUGAAGUUAAUCACUUUAAUGCUGUCAUUCAAAACGUCAUGCAACACAGGACUUAUAUUUUUGGAUGCCAGUGCUUCCCUGUGUAUGACAGUGAUUCCACUGCACUUCUGGAUGUUUAUUUCUAAUGCACGCCAUGAGCCCUUUAACACGGCCUGUGAUUGACGCAGAUCCGUCAGUGCAGACACUCUUGCAGUUUCUCCAGUCUAGCUCAUUUUCAAUGAAGAAAUUAUCCACAACAUUAAAAAGGUCCCCUCUUGCAGAAAAGUACAUUUUCAUAAAUGUCGUUGAUAUCCACAUACCUCACAAAAGCAAUGAGCUGUGCCUUGCCACUGACAUCGGUCAAAUCAUCAAGCUGGAGUGAAAAUGCUUCGCCAAGUUUUCCCACAACUUGUUCAACAAUAUCCGCUCCCAUUCUUUCUAUUCUGCGGGAAACGGUUUCGUUAGACAAAGGCACCGUUUUUAAUUUAUCCGCGGCAUUUUUGUCCAGCAUUGUCUCAGCUAAUACAACAGCGGCUGGGAGUAAUAGGUCCUCAGCGAUCGUGGACGGCUUUUUUGCUUUAGCCACGAGCAGUGACACCGGGUAUGACGCCUGUAGGGCUUUGGCCGAUGUUGUGGAGACUUUUUGCAUUGUUUCCUGCGAUUAUCUAAACUCAGCAAGUUUUCUCUUGAAAAAACACUGAUGUUUGGUGCUGAGAUCUCUCUGGAGGUGCGCCGGUUUCAUCGCGCUAUUAGCUAGUUUCUCCCCACAGAAAAAACACAACGCCUGGGGAGGGUUGCCGUUUGUUGCCGUGAAUCCCAUCAAAACAUACCCCUCCUGAUAUUGACGGUAUUUUGUUGGCUCCACUUUGGCUUUCUUUUUUUCUUCAUCCUCCCUGUUCUCCGCUGUAUUAUUACUACGUUUUAACCAAGAUUUCAUUUAAAUGUCUGUUUGUUUCCAGUAGAGUAACUGGCUUCCCGCUAGGCGUGAUUCAAAU
This is a long non-coding RNA of Esox lucius (northern pike), 1231 nucleotides long. NCBI's taxonomy places the organism in Eukaryota, Metazoa, Chordata, Actinopteri, Esociformes, Esocidae. The record is from Ensembl.